CCUCCUGUGGGCAGCAGUGAGGAAUAUUGGUCACUGGGCGCGAGCCUGAACCCGCCAAGUAGCGUGAAGGCUGACUGCCCUACGGGUUGUAAACUUCUUUUGUAAGGGAGUAACGUAUGGCUCUUGUCUCUUUUUGCAUGUACUUUAUUAAUAAGGCUCCGCUAAUUACGUUCCAUCAGACGCGGUAAUACGGAGGUGCCGGGCGUUCUCCGGAUUUAUUGGGUUUAAAGGGAGCGUAGAUGGGUUGUUAAGUCAGUUGUGAAAGUUUGCGGCUCAACCUUAAAAUUGCAAUUGCUACUGGGAGUCUUGAGUACAGUUGAGGGAGGCGGAAUUCGUGGUGUAGCGGUGAAAUGCAUAGAUAUCAGGAAGAACUCCGAUGGCGAAGGCAGCUUACUGAACUGCCACUGACAUUGAUGCUCGAAAGUGUGGGGAUCAAACAGGAUUAGAUACCCGAGUAGUC
This 460-nucleotide ribosomal RNA is filed under the name uncultured bacterium. Its description in RNAcentral is "partial 16S ribosomal RNA". It matches the Rfam family "Bacterial small subunit ribosomal RNA", at positions 338 to 795 of the family's 1533-position model. The record is from RNAcentral.